This is an RNA transcript of Brassica napus (rape), 2184 nucleotides long. RefSeq lists it as uncharacterized. NCBI's taxonomy places the organism in Eukaryota, Viridiplantae, Streptophyta, Magnoliopsida, Brassicales, Brassicaceae. The record is from RefSeq and is a predicted model, not a curated record. The transcript has 4 exons.
CUAGGAAAUUUCCAAAGAUACAAAAUCAUUCCCUCUUGUAUCUCCCUCGCCAUUAGACGCACCUAAACAAAACGGUUACUUACUUCACAAAUCGUUGUACUCUCUGCAGAUUUUCUCCUCAGAGCCACCACGAUUUUUCCCUCAAUUUACUUCUAAUCCAAGCCAUGGAUUCAGCUACUCCAAAGAAGAGGAGGUGUUUGCUGUUUGAUCUAAAUCAGCCUGCAGAACCAUUAGCAGCUGCUGAAGCAAUACAAGAUCCACCACAAGCUGUGGAACCUCAACCACAAGAGACCAUCAACGGGCAAUACACAUGUCCUAGUAACUUCAGAGACAGGUGUGCCCUGUUUGGUUGUGAAGUAGCUCUUCAGUCUCCUCAAGAAGAGGUCUAUUACUGCUGUAGCAACCUUUUCCAGUUCUCUGAACUAUGGUCCUCCUCUGAAACAAAGGCAUACCAAGUUUACGAUGGCUUGGAAAAGGACAGAAGAGAACCCUUGUCGUUUGCUUGCCUCCUUCUCAAACUUGAUGGAGUUGAUUCUGGGAUUCCAACCCUGGAUACAGACCUUGUUUUCUCCAAGGUUCCUUGGGAGACGGGAGAUGUCUUCCGGCAAAGCUACGUACCAACUUACACAAGCCGGGAUUGGUUCUUCUUUGCUAAACCUCCUCCAACUCACAAGAGAUUGACCUCUGAGUAUGGUAUGGACUGCCAGUGGCAUGCACAGCAUCACAAACUGAUACCCUUUGACCAGCAGUAUAUUAGAUCCACUACUCAUAACCUCCGUACGAAUCAGAAAUCGGAGAAAGAAAGACAUGGUGAGUGGAGGUUAUAUCAGUUUCUGUACAAAGGCCUUUCCUUGUACUGCCUUUCACACAUAGUCACCCCCAAAGAACCAAAACCUGCUCGACCAUCUUCAAAAACGACAAAGACAAAGGCUCCCGACUCUAGUGAUGAUGCUCAAGGGGAAGGUGAAGGCAGUGGAGAAAGGGAUAAGAAUCAAGGCAAAGAGUCCACCACGUCUACAACUACCACAUCAAAUGUUGCAAACCACAAUCUCGGUUCUCAAUUCUUGUCAAACGUCAAAACUUUCACACCAGAUGGUGCCGUAAUGAUUCAUACCAAGAACAUCUUUGUGGUAGACCCCGUUUUGGAAGACAAGGCUUUCUCUGUGAGUGACAUUAAUAGCGGAUGGUGUAAGCUCGCUCAGGUAAUCAACAACCUAAUCUGGUUAUAGUAUAGUAGAAAUCUGCAUCACAUGUUUAACUUCUUCUUUUUUUUUUUAUCUUGAAUUCAGCAAAGAACCUGACUUAAUCUAUAUUAUUCUUAAUGCUUUCACAUAUGAUUUUAGAAAAUGGGCCGACUAUUUUUCAAGGCCGACUUAAGCCCAAAAGCAACCAAAAAUUACCAGAAUACCCAUGGGCGACCUAAAAUCCUAUUAAUAUGUUUUCUAAGCCAUUUUUUACGGCUACUCUUUCUUUACAUCUUGUUCUUAGUUUAUGUUAGGAGAGAAGGGAGGAACUCCUUCAGAGUCCUCCUGGAACUCCUUUGGUUUUCAUAUUGCUUUCUAUUUUAUAUCUAUUCUUUCUAUGAUUUUUGUGACAAACUUCAUGUCUCAAUAGAUCCACCUGUUAGGUUUAGGGUUCAAAUAGUCAUGAGGGAUUAGCCCAAAAUAUAGGAUUGCUAAAUGUGAGGAUAUAAAUCAAUUAAACUGUUCUUAAUGCAUGUGUUCUAGAGUAGCUAACUAGGACCUUGCCUAUAGAUAGUAGGGCGCAAGCGGAAGUUUGGUUCUCUGUCUGAUUAGUUUAGAUUGUGCUAGGAUUGUUAGAAACAAGCGGAAGCUGAUUUAGUUAAUCCUAGUGAACACGUCAAACCCAUGCGCUAAUGCUUCCUGGAAGGUUCAUCGAUCGACAACUCACUAGUUGCAUCGAUCGACGGGCUGAAAGGUGUAUCGAUCGACACCCCAUUGUUGGAAUCGAUCGACACUUUCUCAGAACCAACAAGCGACCAACAAGCGAUAUCUAAGGCCCUAGAUCCAGCGAUAGAUAGUCUAAAUAUACGAAAGUGGAUCGACUAUUCUUAUUGUUUGAGUUCUAGAAUAUCCAUAUAUAUGGAACGAUAGAGCAUUCAGUGACAUGGAGAUAGUACUUAAAGGCUUGGUCUUGGAACAGGUCUCCCUCUAUCUAUCUUGA